UACGUAGGGGGCAAGCGUUGUCCGGAAUCAUUGGGCGUAAAGAGCGUGUAGGCGGCCCGGUAAGUCCGCUGUGAAAGUCGGGGGCUCAACCCUCGAAAGCCGGUGGAUACUGUCGGGCUAGAGUGCGGAAGAGGCGAGUGGAAUUCCUGGUGUAGCGGUGAAAUGCGCAGAUAUCAGGAGGAACACCGAUUGCGAAGGCGGCGACCUGGGUCGAUACUGACGCUGAUGCGCGAAAGCGUGGGGAGCAAACAGG
This 253-nucleotide ribosomal RNA is filed under the name uncultured bacterium. Its description in RNAcentral is "partial 16S ribosomal RNA". It matches the Rfam family "Bacterial small subunit ribosomal RNA", at positions 524 to 776 of the family's 1533-position model. The record is from RNAcentral.